ACCUGUGACAUCAUCAUGGAGUGACAUCAUCAAGAUGUGACAUCAUAGAGUAUAUGAUGAUGUCACAACUUGAUGUCACAUGAUGAUGAUGUCACAGGUACA
This is a non-coding RNA of Xyrichtys novacula (pearly razorfish), 102 nucleotides long. Lineage: Eukaryota; Metazoa; Chordata; Actinopteri; Labriformes; Labridae. The record is from the annotation of a GenBank genome assembly.